Molecule: ribosomal RNA, 489 nt
Filed under: uncultured bacterium
Lineage: Bacteria
Description: partial 16S ribosomal RNA
Rfam family: Bacterial small subunit ribosomal RNA
Source: RNAcentral
GAUGAACGCUAGCGGCAGGCUUAAUACAUGCAAGUCGUGGGGCAGCAGGACUGUAGCAAUACAGUUGCUGGCGACCGGCAAACGUGUGUGGAACACGUACGCAACUUACCCUGAACUGGGGGAUAGCCCGGGGAAACCCGGAUUAAUACCCCGUAAUAUAAUGGAGUGGCAUCACUUUAUUAUUAAAGCUCCGGCGGUUCGGGAUGGGCGUGCGGCUGAUUAGGUAGUUGGUUGAGGUAACGGCUCACCAAGCCUACGAUCAGUAACUGGUGUGCGGGCACGGCCAGUCACAGGGGGACGGAGACACGGGCCCGGCGCCUACGGGAGGCAGCAGUAAGGAAGAUGGGGCAAUGGAGGCAACUCUGACCCAGCCAUGCCGCGUGGAGGAUGAAGGCCCUCGGGGUUGUAAACUUCUUUUAUAGGGGACGAAACCUGUGUAUGCUGACGCAGUUGACGGUACCCUAGGAAUAAGCACCGGCUAACUCCGUG